UUGUGUAUUACCUUUACCCUGCUUACAUACAACCCUAGCAACUCUAUGCUACUAGGAGAGGGCGCGCACUGCCGGUUCGAGCUGUGUUCGCGUAGGUCACUUAACUGCGUUGCUCAUUUGCAUGUUUAGCGCUCUGAGUAAAUAUGGAUAUUUCCUAUAAGAAUUAAAUCUAGUUAUUAAGGAGGAAGAACAUGCUAGCUGGAAAUGGAAGCUGGCUUCCCAAAAUUCAGAAGGGUUUUUGAAUCAUGCCACUAAAGGACAGUUUAAAAAUUCAAGAGUCGGC
This 283-nucleotide long non-coding RNA is filed under the name Bos taurus (domestic cattle). RNAcentral describes it as "long non-coding RNA NONBTAT019732". The record is from RNAcentral. Lineage: Eukaryota; Metazoa; Chordata; Mammalia; Artiodactyla; Bovidae.